RNAcentral lists this ribosomal RNA (253 nucleotides) under uncultured bacterium. Its description in RNAcentral is "partial 16S ribosomal RNA". It matches the Rfam family "Bacterial small subunit ribosomal RNA", at positions 524 to 776 of the family's 1533-position model. The record is from RNAcentral.
UACGGGGGGGGCAAGCGUUGUUCGGAAUUACUGGGCGUAAAGGGCUCGUAGGCGGCCAACUAAGUCGGACGUGAAAUCCCUCGGCUUAACCGGGGAACUGCGUCUGAUACUGGAUGGCUUGAGAUUGGGAGAGGGAUGCGGAAUUCCAGGUGUAGCGGUGAAAUGCGUAGAUAUCUGGAGGAACACCGGUGGCAAAGGCGGCAUCCUGGACCAAUGCUGACGCUGAGGAGCGAAAGCCAGGGGAGCAAACGGG